This is a transfer RNA of Camelus ferus (Wild Bactrian camel), 72 nucleotides long. It matches the Rfam family "tRNA". Rfam says of the family: Transfer RNA (tRNA) molecules are approximately 80 nucleotides in length. Their secondary structure includes four short double-helical elements and three loops (D, anti-codon, and T loops). Lineage: Eukaryota; Metazoa; Chordata; Mammalia; Artiodactyla; Camelidae. The record is from Rfam.
GAAGUUAUAGCUCACUGGUAGAGUGCAUGCUUAGCAUACACAAGGUCCUGAGUUCAAUCCCCAGUACCUCCA